RNAcentral lists this unclassified non-coding RNA (209 nucleotides) under soil metagenome. RNAcentral's name for it is "partial contains 5.8S ribosomal RNA, internal transcribed spacer 2, and large subunit ribosomal RNA". The record is from RNAcentral.
AACAUCGCGCACCUGCGGGAACCUGCGGAGGGAUCAUUACCGAGUUAUACAACUCAUCAACCCUGUGAACAUACCUAAAACGUUGCCUCGGCGGGAACAGACGGCCCCGUAACACGGGCCGCCCCCGCCAGAGGACCCCCUAACUCUGUUUCUAUAAUGUUUUUCCUGAGUAAACAAGCAAAUAAAUCAAAACUUUCAACAACGGAUCU